GGUGUCCACGGAAAGAUUCAAGCUCCUUCAUAGCUCUAAUAUCAUAAAGCUUAAUGAUUUGAUCCUUUCCAGCAGUUAGCACCCAGUUACCAUUUUGAUUCCAUUUGACACAAAGUACCGUGUUUUUGUGGCCAUGACUGCAAAACACACGAAUAGCUUGUUGCAGUGAGAUAGCAUCUGUUUAGAAUUGCUGUUAAGCUAUUUUUGACUUUUUGGCAGAAGUACCCUUCAGAUUAAUUGGCCAAAAGCCAUCAACAGCUGCUCUUGGCAUUUUUUUCUUUGAGUACAUAGGUGGCACAAGACCAAAAAAGGCCAAGUAAUCCUUCUAAGGAAUAUAUGAACAAUGUCCAAUGAACAGCUAUGCUGUCUAAAUGGAUGCCUUAGCCAAUAGCAUUCUUGAAGUAGCACCAAACAUAGCCAUACAAAUAAUAGCAAAAAAUGAGUUUAAUCACAAAGAAGACAAUAUAAUAUUGUACUCACAAUGAGCAAAGCUCUCUCCCAGUUUUGGCAUCCCAAAGUUUUACAAGGUUGUCUUUUCCACCUGAAACCAAUAGAGAUUUUGUAGGAUGCCAAUCAACACUCUUCACAUCCCAACCAUGGCCUGCCUGAGUUCAAAACAGGCAGAAAGAGCUCUUAACAAAUACAUGCAACAGAAGUAGAAUUACAUGUAAGUAAUCAUAUUAUGUUAUACAAGCACAUAUGAUGUAUUUCAUGAAGCAAAAAGCUAACAGUGGAGCCAAAAAAACGGAGAGUAAGGGGGAAAGAAUGCCCCCAGAUCAAAAAUUUUCACGUCACCCCUAAGAGGAGUAAAAAAUAAAUUAAAAAGACCUCUCGGAUCAAAACAUGAACAGCAAAAUAAAUCUAUCAUAAAUUUUAAAAAAAUGCCCUUUGAUUGCAAACACAUGGAUAAGUCCAUACUUCAUAAUUGCUCAACAAACAAAAAUUAAAAUUACCACAUAAUACAUGUCCAAUAGAGAACCCAUAGAUCCAAUGACCACUUUUCACUUCAUUAGAUGGAUGACACUAGACAUAAUUGCUUCAGAAGAAAUCAUUAAUGCCACCAGAAUCAGGAAAUGACUCAAAUUUAGGGCAAUAAACUCAUUAUUGUAUCCAAUGAUAGCCCAAGCACAUUACCAGUUAAUGAACGCUCUUCAUAGCAUCGAGCAAAGUCCCACACUUUAACAGUAGUAUCAUCAGAGCAAGAACAGAACUUCAAAUCUGUCCUACAGAAGCUUACAUCACGAACUGAUUCUUUAUGGGCAGAUUUAUUAGCCUUAACAUUAUUCAUAUUGCUCUGCCAGUACUUAAUUGCACCACCGUCAUCACCAGAGACCAUCCAGUUGUCAUUGUGACUCCAUACCAUGGACCUGAUUGCUUGAUCAUGGGCCUGAAGAAUCAUUUCAAAGUUAAAGGACUGUCCAUUCCAAAGAGUGAAUUCCCCACUUUGAGAGCCUGUGAUUAGACGUCUCCCAUUAGGAGUCCACUGAGAAUAAAAAGGGUAAAGAGGAAAAGUUAACUUGUUUAAGAAUAUUUAAUGCAAUUAGUCCUAUAGGACAAAGGAAAAAAGCAUCAGAAUGAAAAGUUUGAAAACAUCACUGGAAAAUGAAAAUAUCAAUUACACAACCACAUGUGCACACCAAUGUACAGAAACUCUCAUGUUACACCAACUUACCCACAAGUACAGUAUACCACAAGUCUCAAAAUAGCCAACUAAUAAAUAAAUCAAUAAAGGUAAAUGGAGAACCACUAGUUUCCUUAUGUUUGGUUUUUCUGGAUCAUAAGGACCCCACGGAGGACAAAGAAAGAGUAAAAAAAUGUUCAGUCAAGUUACUUGAGAAUAUUUAACACAAUAAGUCAGAUAGCAAACUGAAGACAAGAUCAGAAAGAAAAAUCCUUAUGCAAUGAAAAUAUCAAUUACACAGCAAGCUAACACACAUUCACAUGCCAACACACACAAAUGUGCACAUGUACACACAUUACAAGACCCACUAUGGUUUAUGUUACACUAACCUACCCACCAAGAACUGUACAACACAGGUCUCAAAGAUGGCAAAUUAAUAAAUAGAUCACUAUAGGCUAAAUGAUUAUUGUUAACUUCUUGCAUUUUCUUUUCCCAUAUGAUGGACUAGUUAUCCAAGUUUCAUCAAAUUUGACAUAUUUCAACAAGCCACUUACUCAUCUAUUACUAGCUAUUUCUUUUCUAUAAUUAUUAAUUAACUUUACAGCAUAAGACAAAUCAUUGUAUUGACUAUUGAGAAACAUAUUUGAAGCCAAGUUACAUUUGCAGAAAGAAACUUGAUUAAAGGCAGAGUAGAUGUAGACAGUUAAUAUCUUGACCAUAGAAAUUCAACUUUAAAUGUUCAAACUUUAAAAAGAAAAAAAUUAAGGACUAUACCCUUCAUCUUUUACUUGGAAUUAUUUCUUUACACUGAUUGCAAUUGCUCUUUUACACUCUCUCCUUAACAAAUUCAUUAUUUGUCAAAAUGCAGUAGAACAAAUUAUGGUAUCAAAAAUUUUACUCUCAUUCUGACAUAGACAUACCAAAACCCGAUUAAUUGAACACCGAUUCUUGUUUAGAGAUGUAUGGACAAACUUUGCAGCAAAACUUGUUGAUGGAUUGUCAGAAUAGGCAGUUGUUGGUAACAUAUCAAUUGCUGCUGCUGAAGUGGGUUGCAAUGCUGUUUUGUCUCUUGAAUCCCGCUGCCACAUACGAAUCUGCAUAUAGCGGACAACAGUACUUGUGUAAUCAACUGUUCUCCUUUGGGUAAGCUUUCUCAUCCUUUUUGCACCAAAAUUGUCACCAUGAGCGUCGUAAGGAGGGAGAGGAGGCCCUAAGGCUGAGGAGGGGUGAUGAUAAUCCGCGGGAUUGAGAGUAGUUGAAGAGGCCGAAAGCUGUCUCAUCAUCGGCGGAGGCGGCGGUGGACCCCUGAGGAAGUCCCCGCCCGGCUGCUGGUGUUGCUGCUGAGGAUCACCGUACAUCAUUUUUAUCACAGAAUCUUAAAAAUCCCAACCCCAAAAUCCAGAGAAAUUUAAAGGGGAAAAAAAAGUCAAUAAUGUUAAGGCAGAUUUAGUUGGUGGAUGAAAAACCCUGACCAAUCCUAAUAGGUGAACACAGCAGUGGACAGAUAAUAACCCUA
Molecule: unclassified non-coding RNA, 3137 nt
Filed under: Hevea brasiliensis (rubber tree)
Lineage: Eukaryota; Viridiplantae; Streptophyta; Magnoliopsida; Malpighiales; Euphorbiaceae
Source: RNAcentral